Molecule: long non-coding RNA, 278 nt
Filed under: Carica papaya (papaya)
Lineage: Eukaryota; Viridiplantae; Streptophyta; Magnoliopsida; Brassicales; Caricaceae
Description: long non-coding RNA (CPAP_LNC000782)
Source: RNAcentral
GAGCCGCCGUGCCGGAAUUCUGAUAUUGGUCAAAAGGGGCCCUAGGUCUGAUUUGGGAUUUUUUGGGACACGUGCAGGUACCGGUAGUGCGUUUCAGUUUUUCGGAAAAAUUCAUAGAAAUUAGGGACAGCCCGUAGGCGCACUGUAGAGUCGAUUUCAGACCCCGAAACAAGUAAGGACCCCUCACCCUAUUUCCUAUCACGGUAUUAAAGCUUAAUAAAUAAUUAAACGGUAUUUUGAGACUUUAUAGAUGUAUAAUUGAUUGAGGUUGCCAAUGG